Long non-coding RNA from Carassius auratus (goldfish), 908 nucleotides. RefSeq lists it as uncharacterized. The transcript is spliced from 5 exons. The record is from RefSeq and is a predicted model, not a curated record. NCBI's taxonomy places the organism in Eukaryota, Metazoa, Chordata, Actinopteri, Cypriniformes, Cyprinidae.
GCUUACUGUAGAAACAGUUUACAGUAAGUUGCUGUCAAUUUUAUAACUUUUGCAGUAUUAUUGCUGUAUUUCCAGCUUUGUCUUACUGUAGAAACUAUUUACAGGACAGUUGCUGUCAAUUUAUGCUAUUCUUUGAAAAAAACAAUAGAGUGGGAAAAUAAUUACAGUAAUCCUUAUAUUACUGUUAAAUUGAUGACAGUAAUAAUCCAACUUACAAGGAAUUUUAUUUAUUAAUUAUAUAUUUAUUUAUAAGGAAUUUUAUAAUACAUCGUUUCAUAUGGUAACCCAUAUAUUAAGGCAUUUGGCAUAUAGUUAAAAAAAGUUGAAUGAUUUAUGUGGGUGUUUUUUAAUUGCGUAUCUUUAUGGUUGCCAGAUUUUGACACAAAACCCACCUAAUCUCAUAGGUUAUAGCCAACAAUUUUGUGGGUGGGAGGUAGUUGUAGAGAUGUAGAUGUCAAAAAUAUAGGCUAGGUAAAUAGAUAAAAUCAAUUCCCAUGAUAUAUUUUUAAUAUUAUUAUUUUGCUUUCUAUUAAACACACUAAUUACAUAAAGAGCGGAAUCGUACGCGAUAUACCUGGCAACCAAUCAUCUAAACCGUCAGCCUGCACUCAUUUUCCAAUUCAUUUUCUGAGCCUUUGAGGAUGAACAAGACCAACGAGAACCAGUCAGGUUCUCCCUCGAAAUCGGGUCUCUGUUAGGACACCAAGAGAUCUCAAAUUAAUUGUAAUAGGUAAAAAUCAUUGGUGAAGUCACCAGAUGUGGAUGGCGUGUAUGUUGUUCGACAUUGCAGCGUGCUAAUGAGUUAAUAAAGAGGCAGCAAAAACCUGGGAUCUGCAUUGGCCCUGUCAAGUCUGGAGAGUGUUUUUACCAUUUAAUGAAUUAAAUUGUAAUAAAAGUUUUUAAAUGGA